RNAcentral lists this ribosomal RNA (254 nucleotides) under uncultured bacterium. RNAcentral's name for it is "partial 16S ribosomal RNA". It matches the Rfam family "Bacterial small subunit ribosomal RNA", at positions 524 to 776 of the family's 1533-position model. The record is from RNAcentral.
UACAGAGGUCUCAAGCGUUGUUCGGAUUCAUUGGGCGUAAAGGGUGUGUAGGUGGCGCGCUAAGUCGGGUGUGAAAUUUCGGAGCUUAACUCCGAAACUGCAUUCGAUACUGGCGUGCUUGAGGACUGGAGAGGAGACUGGAAUUCGAUGGUGUAGCAGUGAAAUGCGUAGAGAUCAUGAGGAAGACCAGUGGCGAAGGCGGGUCUCUGGACAGUUCCUGACGCUGAGGCACGAAGGUCAGGGGAGCAAACGGG